GAUGAACGCUGGCGGCGUGCCUAAUACAUGCAAGUCGAGCGAACAGAUGAGGAGCUUGCUCCUCUGACGUUAGCGGCGGACGGGUGAGUAACACGUGGAUAACCUACCUAUAAGACCGGGAUAACUUCGGGAAACCGGAGCUAAUACCGGAUAAUAUAUUGAACCGCAUGGUUCAAUAGUGAAAGACGGUUUUGCUGUCACUUAUAGAUGGAUCCGCGCCGCAUUAGCUAGUUGGUAAGGUAACGGCUUACCAAGGCGACGAUGCGUAGCCGACCUGAGAGGGUGAUCGGCCACACUGGAACUGAGACACGGUCCAGACUCCUACGGGAGGCAGCAGUAGGGAAUCUUCCGCAAUGGGCGAAAGCCUGACGGAGCAACGCCGCGUGAGUGAUGAAGGUCUUCGGAUCGUAAAACUCUGUUAUUAGGGAAGAACAAAUGUGUAAGUAACUAUGCACGUCUUGACGGUACCUAAUCAGAAAGCCACGGCUAACUACGUG
Molecule: ribosomal RNA, 497 nt
Filed under: uncultured bacterium
Lineage: Bacteria
Description: partial 16S ribosomal RNA
Rfam family: Bacterial small subunit ribosomal RNA
Source: RNAcentral